GUGCCAGCAGCCGCGGUAAUACGUAGGGGGCAAGCGUUGUCCGUAUUUAUUGGGCGUAAAGAGCGCGUAGGCGGUUAGGUAGGUCCGUUGUGAAAACUCGAGGCUCAACCUCGAGACGCCGAUGGAAACCAUCUGACUAGAGUCCGGAAGAGGAGAGUGGAAUUCCCGGUGUAGCGGUGAAAUGCGCAGAUAUCGGGAGGAACACCGGUGGCGAAGGCGGUUCUCUGGGCCUUACCUGACACUGAGACACGAAGGCCAGGGGAGCAAACGGGAUUAGAUACCCCAGUAGUCC
This 292-nucleotide ribosomal RNA is filed under the name uncultured bacterium. RNAcentral's name for it is "partial 16S ribosomal RNA". It matches the Rfam family "Bacterial small subunit ribosomal RNA", at positions 505 to 796 of the family's 1533-position model. The record is from RNAcentral.